RNAcentral lists this unclassified non-coding RNA (978 nucleotides) under Hevea brasiliensis (rubber tree). The record is from RNAcentral. Lineage: Eukaryota; Viridiplantae; Streptophyta; Magnoliopsida; Malpighiales; Euphorbiaceae.
AAGUAUAGCAGCUUAAAUUUAAAGCUCCUAUAUAGCAUAGUCAAACAUACUAGAACACACAUGUACACAAAUAUUUAAGAAGCCAUGCAACUUAUUUUCACUUAAGAGUUAAGUCUCCCCAACCAUUCUUAGCCGCAUAUCGACCAAUCUUGCACUGAAUUCACCAUCACUAAUCUUCAACAUUUUACACAAUGGAAGCUUCAACCCGUACUCCGCCAACAUUCUAUGCCUUGGCUUUAUCUUCCCCUCCAAACUGAAUGAAAAAUACUGCGGAAAUCUUUUCAAUUCCUCCAAAUCACCCUUCAUUUCCACCAAAAAGUAGUCCACUUUUGGCACUAAAUUGUUCUCUACACUAAAAGUCAAAAGCCCCGGCGACCUGACUACCAUUUCUUUAACCUCACAGUAUUCAAACCCCAAACUCAUCAAGUAUUCAAUCUUAGCCAUCAAGGUAAAUUCAAUAUUAUAUACAAGCAACACAGUUGUCUGACAAUUGAUGGCAUUGGCACCCACAAACCCAAGGUUCCGAAGAAAGAUAAGGGCAGGGCGUAAUUGGUCAGAAACACUAGAGACUAAGAGCCUAGGACACCGAGAAAUAGUUUUGGCGAUAUCUGGAAAUGGGAUACCAACCUCGUUGAGCAGGAAGUCGAAGACAGGAUAGAGAUAGACGUGCGGAUCAGAGGUGAGAAGGGCAGGGUGCAUGUCUAGGAUGCGGCCGAUGGCAAGGCGGUGGAGGCCCAUGCAGGAGAGGCAGUGCUCUACGGAGUAGAGGGUGGAGAGAGGAGUGGAGCGGAGAUUUGGGUUUUGAGUGAGCGCUUUUUGGGUAUUGAUUUUGAGGCCUGUGAGGUAUUGGAGCUUUUCAUGGAAGAGGAGGCCAGAGUCCACAGUGUCUGUGGGAAGGCAUUUGGGGGUUUUAGAGAGUUUUGGGGAAGAGAAGGAAGAGGGAGGAAGGAGGAGUAGAGUUCCUGCGGCAAUCAUGGU